UAAUAGAAAAUCAAUAGCUGAAUCAUCUGUCAUCCUUAAAUACAUUGAUGAAAUGUGGAAGCGAUCUUCUCAACUAUUGCCUGAUGAUCCUUAUCAAAGAACUCAAGUUUGCUUCUGGUUGUUUGAAGGCAUGGGACGCGUAAUCACAAGUGAUGGAGAAGCACAAGAGAGAGCAGUUGACUAACUACUGGAGAAGAUGAACAUAUUUGAAGAGGAAAUGAAGAAACUCUUACCUGAUGGUGUUCCAAUCAUUCAAGUUGAUAACUUAGGACUCCUAGACAUUCUAGUGAGUGUAACAUUCAGCGCCUAUGAAGCUCGAGAAGAAGUGAGUGGUGUAAAAAUUUUAAACCCAGAAAGGAACCCAUUCAUAUUUUCGUGGGUUACCACCUUGAAACAGCUGCCUAUAGUGAAAGAGUUGCUACCCCCUCAUGACAAGCCUGUGGGACUUAUUCGCUUUGUUAGGAAAAUGUCUCUUAAAUCUUCUGCUUAGUGAAGUGUUUCGCUUUUGUCUAGGCAUGUUCCUCUAUAAUCACUUGUGUGAAAAUAAGUGAGAUGAAUGAUAGCAUCUGCCAUUGGUUGAA
Long non-coding RNA from Hevea brasiliensis (rubber tree), 581 nucleotides. RefSeq lists it as uncharacterized. The record is from RefSeq and is a predicted model, not a curated record. Lineage: Eukaryota; Viridiplantae; Streptophyta; Magnoliopsida; Malpighiales; Euphorbiaceae. The transcript has 2 exons.